CGGCCUAGCCCACUCCGGGUACCAAUCGCCAUAGUGGUCAUAGACCGAACGAAUGGUUCAAUGACACUGUCGCGUAUUGGUACCUUGAUGGGCAAAGGUU
RNAcentral lists this microRNA precursor (100 nucleotides) under Pristionchus pacificus. RNAcentral's name for it is "microRNA ppc-mir-2268 precursor". The record is from miRBase by way of RNAcentral. Lineage: Eukaryota; Metazoa; Nematoda; Chromadorea; Rhabditida; Neodiplogasteridae.